AGUCGAACGGUAAGGCCCCUUCGGGGGUACACGAGUGGCGAACGGGUGAGUAACACGUGGGUAAUCUGCCCUGCACUUCGGGAUAAGCCUGGGAAACCGGGUCUAAUACCGGAUAUGAACUCCUGCCGCAUGGUGGGGGUUGGAAAGUUUUUCGGUGCAGGAUGAGCCCGCGGCCUAUCAGCUUGUUGGUGGGGUAAUGGCCUACCAAGGCGACGACGGGUAGCCGGCCUGAGAGGGUGAUCGGCCACACUGGGACUGAGACACGGCCCAGACUCCUACGGGAGGCAGCAGUGGGGAAUAUUGCACAAUGGGCGAAAGCCUGAUGCAGCGACGCCGCGUGGGGGAUGACGGUCUUCGGAUUGUAAACCCCUUUCAGUAGGGACGAAGCGCAAGUGACGGUACCUGCAGAAGAAGCACCGGCUAACUACGUGCCAGCAGCCGCGGUAAUACGUAGGGUGCGAGCGUUGUCCGGAAUUACUGGGCGUAAAGAGCUCGUAGGCGGUUUGUCACGUCGUCUGUGAAAUCCCUCGGCUUAACCGGGGGCGUGCAGGCGAUACGGGCAGACUUGAGUACUACAGGGGAGACUGGAAUUCCUGGUGUAGCGGUGAAAUGCGCAGAUAUCAGGAGGAACACCGGUGGCGAAGGCGGGUCUCUGGGUAGUAACUGACGCUGAGGAGCGAAAGCAUGGGUAGCGAACAGGAUUAGAUACCCUGGUAGUCCAUGCCGUAAACGGUGGGCGCUAGGUGUGGGGUCCUUCCACGGACUCCGUGCCGUAGCUAACGCAUUAAGCGCCCCGCCUGGGGAGUACGGCCGCAAGGCUAAAACUCAAAGGAAUUGACGGGGGCC
RNAcentral lists this ribosomal RNA (846 nucleotides) under Dietzia kunjamensis. Its description in RNAcentral is "bacterial SSU rRNA". It matches the Rfam family "Bacterial small subunit ribosomal RNA", at positions 60 to 921 of the family's 1533-position model. Lineage: Bacteria; Bacillati; Actinomycetota; Actinomycetes; Mycobacteriales; Dietziaceae. The record is from RNAcentral.